GAGCGCAACCCUUGUCCUUAGUUACCAGCACGUUAUGGUGGGCGACUCUAAGGAGACUGCCGGUGCAAACCGGAGGAAAGGUGGGGAGUGACGUCAAGUCAUCAUGGCCCUUACGGCCUGGGCUACACACGUGCUACAAUGGUCGGUACAAAGGGUUGCCAAGCCGCGAGGUGGAGCUAAUCCCAUAAAACCGAUCGUAGUCCGGAUCGCAGUCUGCAACUCGACUGCGUGAAGUCGGAAUCGCUAGUAAUCGUGAAUCAGAAUGUCACGGUGAAUACGUUCCCGGGCCUU
This 291-nucleotide ribosomal RNA is filed under the name uncultured Pseudomonas sp. RNAcentral's name for it is "partial 16S ribosomal RNA". It matches the Rfam family "Bacterial small subunit ribosomal RNA", at positions 1094 to 1382 of the family's 1533-position model. Lineage: Bacteria; Pseudomonadati; Pseudomonadota; Gammaproteobacteria; Pseudomonadales; Pseudomonadaceae. The record is from RNAcentral.